UACGUAGGGACCAAGCGUUGUCCGGAAUCAUUGGGCGUAAAGCGCGCGUAGGCGGCCCUGUAAGUCCGUUGUGAAAGUCAAAGGCUCAACCUUUGAAAGCCGAUGGAUACUGCAGGGCUAGAGUCCGGAAGAGGCGAGUGGAAUUCCUGGUGUAGCGGUGGAAUGCGCAGAUAUCAGGAGGAACACCAAUAGCGAAGGCAGCUCGCUGGGACGGUACUGACGCUAAGGCGCGAAAGCGUGGGGAGCGAACAGG
Molecule: ribosomal RNA, 253 nt
Filed under: uncultured bacterium
Lineage: Bacteria
Description: partial 16S ribosomal RNA
Rfam family: Bacterial small subunit ribosomal RNA
Source: RNAcentral